Molecule: ribosomal RNA, 497 nt
Filed under: uncultured bacterium
Lineage: Bacteria
Description: partial 16S ribosomal RNA
Rfam family: Bacterial small subunit ribosomal RNA
Source: RNAcentral
GAUGAACGCUGGUGGCGUGCCUAAUACAUGCGAGUCAAGCGAACGGACGAGAAGCUUGCUUCUCUGAUGUUAGCGGCGGACGGGUGAGUAACACGUGGAUAACCUACCUAUAAGACUGGGAUAACUUCGGGAAACCGGAGCUAAUACCGGAUGAUAUUUUGAACCGCAUGGUUCAAAAGCGAAAGACGGUCUUGCUGUCACUUAUAGAUGGAUCCGCGCUGCAUUAGCUAGUUGGUAAGGUAACGGCUUACCAAGGCAACGAUGCAUAGCCGACCUGAGAGGGUGAUCGGCCACACUGGAACUGAGACACGGUCCAGACUCCUACGGGAGGCAGCAGUAGGGAAUCUUCCGCAAUGGGCGAAAGCCUGACGGAGCAACGCCGCGUGAGUGAUGAAGGUCUUCGGAUCGUAAAACUCUGUUAUUAGGGAAGAACAUAUGUGUAAGUAACUGUGCACAUCUUGACGGUACCUAAUCAGAAAGCCACGGCUAACUACGUG